UACGGAGGAUCCGAGCGUUAUCCGGAUUUAUUGGGUUUAAAGGGUGCGUAGGCGGACGCUUAAGUCAGCGGUAAAAUUGCGGGGCUCAACCUCGUCGAGCCGUUGAAACUGGGUGCCUUGAGUGGGCGAGAAGUACGCGGAAUGCGUGGUGUAGCGGUGAAAUGCAUAGAUAUCACGCAGAACUCCGAUUGCGAAGGCAGCGUACCGGCGCCCAACUGACGCUGAAGCACGAGGGCGUGGGUAUCGAACAGG
This 252-nucleotide ribosomal RNA is filed under the name uncultured bacterium. RNAcentral describes it as "partial 16S ribosomal RNA". It matches the Rfam family "Bacterial small subunit ribosomal RNA", at positions 524 to 776 of the family's 1533-position model. The record is from RNAcentral.